Long non-coding RNA from Lemur catta (Ring-tailed lemur), 164 nucleotides. RefSeq lists it as uncharacterized. The record is from RefSeq and is a predicted model, not a curated record. The transcript has 3 exons. Lineage: Eukaryota; Metazoa; Chordata; Mammalia; Primates; Lemuridae.
UACUAGAGGUACUUAAAGCUGUUUUGGCUGGUACACUAAAUUCAAAAUACUUGAGAGAAGUUGGAAUUUUCCUUCCAAUUGCAAUGGGUUGUCACAGGAAGGGCUCUGGCAAGUUACACUGCCAUUGAAAUUGAAGUUUGGAUUCCAAAGAGAAAUUCUGAAGA